This 675-nucleotide long non-coding RNA is filed under the name Volvox carteri. RNAcentral's name for it is "long non-coding RNA (VCAR_LNC001313)". The record is from RNAcentral. Lineage: Eukaryota; Viridiplantae; Chlorophyta; Chlorophyceae; Chlamydomonadales; Volvocaceae.
GCACGGUGGGAACACGUCAAGCAAGAAAUAACACACCGCAUUGUUGGGACUGUGUGUCCACUGGUCCCGGACGUUUUCAUCGUCCACAUCCCAUGUCCACAAUCUCCUCCAGUAUGACACCUAUCGCGGCCAUUUGUUCACAGCUUCUACAUGAAAGUAACCUAACUUCUAGAUAAACAUCGCUGUACACUGAAGUUGGGCAGUUAUGUAAUACUAUUGUAAGGUUAGCGACUGUGACAUGCUUGCCACCCAAGCCUACAUGCUUACCCAACUCUUGUUGUAUGGAAGCGUGAUGCAUCGCGUUAAAGCAUGACUAAAGGGGGUGUUAAACUGUGAGCGGCUCGCCAUGCACCCACGACUCUGGUUCGGGUCGGUUCGGGUGGUGGUAUCUUUUAGUUACACACACACACACACACACACACACACACACACACACACACACACACACACACACACACACACACACACACACACACACACACACACACACACACACACACACAGACACACACACACAAUGAAUGAAUGAGUACGGAGUACGGUAACCAGGCAUGUAGGGUUCCUGCCCCACAUACCGGAAUCGAAACCAACACAGUACGCACGAGAGACACUUGUAAGUGCUCCCCUUACAGAGCUUUCAUUAAAUUCCUUUAACUCGCGCGAUUCCGGAUGCCU